UACGAAGGGUGCUAGCGUUGUUCGGAAUUACUGGGCGUAAAGCGCGCGUAGGCGGCUUAUCAAGUCAGGGGUGAAAUCCCGGGGCUCAACCCCGGAAUUGCCUUUGAAACUGGUAAGCUUGAGUGUCGGAGGGGAUAGCGGAAUUGCUAAUGUAGAGGUGAAAUUCGUAGAUAUCAACUGGAACGCCGAAGGUGAAGACAAGCGACUGGGCCGAUUCUGACGCUGAGGCACGAAAGCGUGGGGAGCAAACGGG
RNAcentral lists this ribosomal RNA (253 nucleotides) under uncultured bacterium. RNAcentral describes it as "partial 16S ribosomal RNA". It matches the Rfam family "Bacterial small subunit ribosomal RNA", at positions 524 to 776 of the family's 1533-position model. The record is from RNAcentral.